AACGAACGCUGGCGGCGUGGCUAAGGCAUGCAAGUCGAACGGACCCCUGGAUGGGUAACUUGAAAGGGAGUCAGUGGCGAACGGGUGAGUAAUGAAUGGGUAACGUCCCCUGGACUCAGGGAUAGCGGCGGGCCGCAAGGUCCUUUGCGAAAGUGCCGGUAAUACCUGAUGACCCCGCGUGACCGCAUGGUCGAGCGGGCAAAGCUCCGGUGGUCCGGGAUCGGCCCAUUUCCUAUCAGCUAGNGGUGAGGUAACGGCCCACCAAGGCUUCGACGGGUACCGGGUGUGAGAGCAUGACCCGGCACAUCGGAACUGAGACACGGUCCGGACACCUACGGGUGGCUGCAGCAACGAAUAUUCCGCAAUGGGCGAAAGCCUGACGGAGCGACGCCGCGUGCAGGAUGAAGUCUUUCGGGAUGUAAACUGCUGUCGGGGCUAGAAAUAAAUUGAUCAGCCCCACAGGAAGCCAUGGCUAACUCUGUGCCAGCAGCCGCCGUAAG
RNAcentral lists this ribosomal RNA (500 nucleotides) under uncultured bacterium. RNAcentral describes it as "bacterial SSU rRNA". It matches the Rfam family "Bacterial small subunit ribosomal RNA", at positions 29 to 524 of the family's 1533-position model. The record is from RNAcentral.